CCUACGGGAGGCAGCAGUGGGGAAUAUUGCACAAUGGGGGGAACCCUGAUGCAGCGACGCCGCGUGAGUGAAGAAGUAUUUCGGUAUGUAAAGCUCUAUCAGCAGGGAAGAAAAUGACGGUACCUGACUAAGAAGCCCCGGCUAACUACGUGCCAGCAGCCGCGGUAAUACGUAGGGGGCAAGCGUUAUCCGGAUUUACUGGGUGUAAAGGGAGCGCAGACGGCUGUGCAAGUCUGGAGUGAAAGGCGGGGGCCCAACCCCCGGACUGCUCUGGAAACUGUAAAGCUGGAGUGCAGGAGAGGUAAGCGGAAUUCCUAGUGUAGCGGUGAAAUGCGUAGAUAUUAGGAGGAACACCAGUGGCGAAGGCGGCCUGCUGGACUGAAACUGACGUUGAGGCUCGAAAGCGUGGGGAGCAAACAGGAUUAGAUACCCCAGUAGUC
This 440-nucleotide ribosomal RNA is filed under the name uncultured bacterium. Its description in RNAcentral is "partial 16S ribosomal RNA". It matches the Rfam family "Bacterial small subunit ribosomal RNA", at positions 338 to 795 of the family's 1533-position model. The record is from RNAcentral.